RNAcentral lists this ribosomal RNA (253 nucleotides) under uncultured bacterium. Its description in RNAcentral is "partial 16S ribosomal RNA". It matches the Rfam family "Bacterial small subunit ribosomal RNA", at positions 524 to 776 of the family's 1533-position model. The record is from RNAcentral.
UACGUAGGGUGCAAGCGUUGUCCGGAAUCAUUGGGCGUAAAGCGCGCGUAGGCGGCCCGAUAAGUCCGCUGUAAAAGUCAACGGCUCAACUGGGGGGCGUCGUGCGAUACGGUCGGACUGGAGGCCAGUAGGGGGAUGCGGAAUUCCGGGUGUAGUGGUGGAAUGCGUAGAGAUCCGGAGGAACACCAGCGGCGAAGGCGGCAUCCUGGACUGGUCCUGACACUCAGGAGCGAAAGCGUGGGGAGCGAGCCGG